RNAcentral lists this ribosomal RNA (233 nucleotides) under uncultured bacterium. Its description in RNAcentral is "partial 16S ribosomal RNA". It matches the Rfam family "Bacterial small subunit ribosomal RNA", at positions 118 to 348 of the family's 1533-position model. The record is from RNAcentral.
UGAGCAAUCUGCCCUUCACAUCGGAAUAAGCGUUGGAAACGACGUCUAAUGCCGAAUACGACCUCCUUUCACAUGAUCGGAGGUGGAAAGCUCCGGCGGAGAAGGAUGAGCUCGCGGCCUAUCAGCUAGUUGGUGUGGGUAACGCCCACCAAGGCGACGACGGGUAGCCGGCCUGAGAGGGUGACCGGCCACACGUGGGACUGAGACACGGCCCAGACCUCCGUACGGGACGG